This 505-nucleotide ribosomal RNA is filed under the name uncultured bacterium. Its description in RNAcentral is "bacterial SSU rRNA". It matches the Rfam family "Bacterial small subunit ribosomal RNA", at positions 71 to 572 of the family's 1533-position model. The record is from RNAcentral.
GCACGGGGGCAACCCUGGUGGCGAGUGGCGAACGGGUGAGUAAUACAUCGGAACGUGUCCUGUAGUGGGGGAUAGCCCGGCGAAAGCCGGAUUAAUACCGCAUACGAUCUACGGAAGAAAGCGGGGGAUCGCAAGACCUCGCGCUAUAGGGGCGGCCGAUGGCAGAUUAGCUAGUUGGUGGGGUAAAGGCCUACCAAGGCGACGAUCUGUAGCUGGUCUGAGAGGACGACCAGCCACACUGGGACUGAGACACGGCCCAGACUCCUACGGGAGGCAGCAGUGGGGAAUUUUGGACAAUGGGGGAAACCCUGAUCCAGCAAUGCCGCGUGUGUGAAGAAGGCCUUCGGGUUGUAAAGCACUUUUGUCCGGAAAGAAAACCUUUGCACUAAUACUGUGAGGGGAUGACGGUAUCGGAAGAAUAAGCACUGGCUAACUACGUGCCAGCAGCCGCGGUAAUACGUAGGGUGCGAGCGUUAAUCGGAAUUACUGGGCGUAAAGCGUGCGC